This 274-nucleotide ribosomal RNA is filed under the name uncultured bacterium. Its description in RNAcentral is "partial 16S ribosomal RNA". It matches the Rfam family "Bacterial small subunit ribosomal RNA", at positions 523 to 796 of the family's 1533-position model. The record is from RNAcentral.
CUACGGAGGGUCCAAGCGUUAUCCGGAAUCAUUGGGUUUAAAGGGUGCGCAGGCGGUUUAUUAAGUCAGUGGUGAAAUCUCGGGGCUCAACUCCGAAACUGCCAUUGAUACUGAUAAACUUGAGUUCAGUUGGAGUAGGCGGAAUGUGUAGUGUAGCGGUGAAAUGCUUAGAUGUUACACAGAACACCGAUAGCGAAGGCAGCUUACUAAACUGAUACUGACGCUGAGGCACGAAAGCGUGGGGAGCGAACAGGAUUAGAUACCCUAGUAGUCC